GGAUUGUGGCUCAGUGGUAGAGUGCUGGCCUAAUACAUGCAAGGCCCUGGGUUCUAUCCUCAGCACCA
This 68-nucleotide transfer RNA is filed under the name Marmota monax (woodchuck). RNAcentral describes it as "tRNA.Ile". Lineage: Eukaryota; Metazoa; Chordata; Mammalia; Rodentia; Sciuridae. The record is from RNAcentral.